GUGUCAGCAGCCGCGGUAAUACGGAGGAGGCAAGCGUUAUCCGGAAUUAUUGGGCGUAAAGGGUCUGUAGGUGGCAAUUCAAGUCUGCUGUUAAAGCCGAUAGCUUAACUAUCGAUCGGCAGUGGAAACUGAAUCGCUUGAGUGCAGUAGGGGUCACGGGAAUUUCCAGAGUAGCGGUGAAAUGCGUAGAUACUGGAAAGAACACCAGCGGCGAAAGCGCGUGACUGGGCUGUUACUGACACUGAGGGACGAAAGCUAGGGGAGCAAAACGGAUUAGAUACCCCAGUAGUCC
This 292-nucleotide ribosomal RNA is filed under the name uncultured bacterium. RNAcentral describes it as "partial 16S ribosomal RNA". It matches the Rfam family "Bacterial small subunit ribosomal RNA", at positions 505 to 796 of the family's 1533-position model. The record is from RNAcentral.